GUACCGCCUUGAUGAAGAUCACCGGCAUGUUGGGGGUCAGCUCCUUCAGACGAGCGUCCGCUAUCACCCCUGUCUGGGUGUCCCAGCGCGCCCCUGCACAUACACAACCAGACACAUACAUACCUACCGUAUUGAACUCUAAACAUAGAAACAUCUGUCAUCACUCCAACCCCCAUCUCCACAUUGAGACUGUAUGGUUGUGUAUAUCUACAGUACUGUACAAACGGACCACUUAGUUACCAAUGCCUGAGAAAUAGCACUGUUUUUGUCACGGAAACUAGUAAGGUGUUUUCCAUGAACUACAAACAUUAAUAUGCUGAGUACAUGUUGCCAGCAGGAGGAACGUUAGCCAGGAUGUUGUGUACAUUCCACAACCUCCCCAUUAGUUUUGUAUUGACAGAGUAGAAUCUGGUACAUGAUGAGAGUAAAGUGUGUGUGUGUGAAGGUAAAUAGACAGGCAUGUGAACAGGUGUGGGUCUGAAGGUGAAUAGACAGGUGUGUGAACAGGUGUGGGUCUGAAGGUGAAUAGACAGGUGUGUGAACAGGUGUGGGUCUGAAGGUGAAUAGACAGGUGUGGGUCUGAAGGUGAAUAGACAGGCAUGUGAACAGGUGUGGGUCUGAAGGUGAAUAGACAGGCAUGUGAACAGGUGUGGGUCUGAAGGUGAAUAGACAGGUGUGUGAACAGGUGUGGGUCUGAAGGUGAAUAGACAGGUGUGGGUCUGAAGGUGAAUAGACAGGCAUGUGAACAGGUGUGGGUCUGAAGGUGAAUAGACAGGCAUGUGAACAGGUGUGGGUCUGAAGGUGAAUAGACAGGCAUGUGAACAGGUGUGGGUCUGAAGGUGAAUAGACAGGUGUGUGAACAGGUGUGGGUCUGAAGGUGAAUAGACAGGUGUGGGUCUGAAGGUGAAUAGACAGGCAUGUGAACAGGUGUGGGUCUGAAGGUGAAUAGACAGGCAUGUGAACAGGUGUGGGUCUGAAGGUGAAUAGACAGGUGUGGGUCUGAAGGUGAAUAGACAGAUGUGUGAACAGGUGUGGGUCUGAAGGUGAAUAGACAGGUGUGGGUCUGAAGGUGAAUAGACAGAUGUGUGAACAGGUGUGGGUCUGAAGGUGAAUAGACAGGUGUGUGAACAGGUGUGGGUCUGAAGGUGAAUAGACAGGUGUGGGUCUGAAGGUGAAUAGACAGAUGUGUGAACAGGUGUGGGUCUGAAGGUGAAUAGACAGGUGUGGGUCUGAAGGUGAAUACACAAACUGUGCGUGUGUGUGAAGGUGACAAGACAGACCGCUGUGUGUGGAGUGUUGAGAUCCCUGGAGGAGCCUUAAGGACGGUUGAGAGGAGAACUGAUCUAGCAGUGUUUACUACGGUACUCUAAACCAGUGGUUCCCAAACUGUGGGGCGUGCCCCCUAGGGAUGUUCCCCAAUGCUGGAAGGAGGCCUGAGAGAAAGUUUGGGAAACCCUGCGCUAACCAGCUCAUACAGUGAGUCAUUCCAGGAUCUGAACUGGGCACUCUGUGUGAAUGGAUGACUAUCUUUGUAACCUAAGAGAAUUUGAUGAGUUUUUUAAAAUGAUAUUAAAGUUUUGACUGCACCUGAUGUGUGUUAUUGACGGACUUAUUCAUCUCCAGAAGAUGGUGGCUGAUGUUUCAUGAUGCCAUUGCUAAUGGCAAAAAUUGGCGUAAAUGUGUUCUACAGUGUAUCACUUUGGAGAAAUCCAAAGUAGCCAUUUGCCUGACUGAAUAAACGUAUCUAUUUUCUAA
Coregonus clupeaformis (lake whitefish) is the source of this 1755-nucleotide long non-coding RNA. RefSeq lists it as uncharacterized. The record is from RefSeq and is a predicted model, not a curated record. Lineage: Eukaryota; Metazoa; Chordata; Actinopteri; Salmoniformes; Salmonidae. The transcript has 2 exons.